RNAcentral lists this ribosomal RNA (253 nucleotides) under uncultured bacterium. Its description in RNAcentral is "partial 16S ribosomal RNA". It matches the Rfam family "Bacterial small subunit ribosomal RNA", at positions 524 to 776 of the family's 1533-position model. The record is from RNAcentral.
UACAUAGGGUGCGAGCGUUAAUCGGAAUUACUGGGCGUAAAGCGCGCGUAGGCGGCUUUGCAAGUCGGGUGUGAAAUCCCCAGGCUUAACCUGGGAACUGCAUUCGAGACUGCAUUGCUAGAGUAUGGGAGAGGGAAGUGGAAUUUCCGGUGUAGCGGUGAAAUGCGUAGAUAUCGGAAGGAACAUCAGUGGCGAAAGCGACUUCCUGGACCAAAACUGACGCUCAUGUGCGAAAGCGUGGGGAGCAAACAGG